This is a long non-coding RNA of Chlorocebus sabaeus (green monkey), 450 nucleotides long. RefSeq lists it as uncharacterized. Lineage: Eukaryota; Metazoa; Chordata; Mammalia; Primates; Cercopithecidae. The record is from RefSeq and is a predicted model, not a curated record.
GCAUUUUCCCGCGCGCGGGUAACUUGGAUGAUGAAGAACCCGGAAGUAGUAGGGGCUGCGUCUUUUCUGUUCUUCUUCCUCCAUCUUGUCCUUUUCCCCUUCACCCAGACAGCAGGAGCUGGAGGGGCGCGAGAGUCCCGGGGGGGAGCUGGCAUACAGUAGGCGCUCAAUACAGGAGCACGGGAGCCUGGGAGGCGGCUGGGGGAUCCUCCGUGGGAGCCUGUCCCGCGCCGCUCUUAGAAAGGACUCUGCGGCGAGCCCAGAAUCUGUUAACCGGCCCUCUUCAGCAAAGGAGCAGAAACCCGGCAGGCGCUCAGACACUCCUCUGCACACCUGAGGAGUCUCCCUCCAACCCAGUGCAUAGACCAGCACGCCUCGCUCCUCCCACAUCUCGUCCUGCCCUCAACCCCUCUCUGAUCCUAAUCCCUUCUCCAUAAACGGAUUUGCCUC